RNAcentral lists this ribosomal RNA (468 nucleotides) under uncultured bacterium. RNAcentral describes it as "partial 16S ribosomal RNA". It matches the Rfam family "Bacterial small subunit ribosomal RNA", at positions 28 to 507 of the family's 1533-position model. The record is from RNAcentral.
GACGAACGCUGGCGGCAUGCUUAACACAUGCAAGUCGAACGGAAAGGCCCUGCUUUUGUGGGGUGCUCGAGUGGCGAACGGGUGAGUAACACGUGAGUAACCUGCCCUUGACUUUGGGAUAACUUCAGGAAACUGGGGCUAAUACCGGAUAGGAGCUCCUGCUGCAUGGUGGGGGUUGGAAAGUUUCGGCGGUUGGGGAUGGACUCGCGGCUUAUCAGCUUGUUGGUGGGGUAGUGGCUUACCAAGGCUUUGACGGGUAGCCGGCCUGAGAGGGUGACCGGCCACAUUGGGACUGAGAUACGGCCCAGACUCCUACGGGAGGCAGCAGUGGGGAAUAUUGCACAAUGGGCGGAAGCCUGAUGCAGCAACGCCGCGUGCGGGGUGACGGCCUUCGGGUUGUAAACCGCUUUCGCCUGUGACGAAGCGUGAGUGACGGUAAUGGGUAAAGAAGCACCGGCUAACUACGUG